CCUGCCCUUAAGUCUGGGAUACCAUUGGAAACAGAUGCUAAUACCGGAUAACAACAGAUGAUGCCUAUCAACUGUUUAAAAGAUGGUUCUGCUAUCACUCUUGGAUGGACCUGCGGUGCAUUAGCUAGUUGGUAGGGUAACGGCCUACCAAGGCGAUGAUGCAUAGCCGAGUUGAGAGACUGAUCGGCCACAUUGGGACUGAGACACGGCCCAAACUCCUACGGGAGGCAGCAGCC
This 236-nucleotide ribosomal RNA is filed under the name uncultured Lactobacillus sp. Its description in RNAcentral is "partial 16S ribosomal RNA". It matches the Rfam family "Bacterial small subunit ribosomal RNA", at positions 125 to 355 of the family's 1533-position model. Lineage: Bacteria; Bacillati; Bacillota; Bacilli; Lactobacillales; Lactobacillaceae. The record is from RNAcentral.